ACAGCUCCGGUUGCGGGGAGGCCCGGGUGGGUACCCGGCGCUCCGGCUCCCAGUCUCCUGGGCUUCUCCAGUCCUUCAGCGCCGUUCUCCGGUCACAGGGAAUGAAAGCGAGGAAGAAGGAAACGGUGUCGAGAAUUGCGAAGAGAGAAAGCAUAGAAAACCCACAUUAGAGGCACUCCCAGAGCAGAAACCCUUCGGAGCAUCCCGACUUCCUCGGCCCGCGUGCAAUCCAGGCAAAAUUGAGGUUGUCUCUGAGCCGCCCUCCCUAAGCAGGUCGGAAAGCCCCCGAAUCAUCCCAGGUCCCGCCGCGCUGCACUCGCAACCUGGGGUGGAGGUCCCUCUAGUGGUUGGCACCAAACAAAAGUUCUGUCUUAUGAAGAGCCGAGGUCAGGAAGCAUUUCCCUGUGCCCAGCGCCAAGGUCUGGGACCUUAGGUCCAAGAAAAGCGUUGGCAAUGUCUGACCACAGGAAUGGGUUCUCGAACUGGGGAGGACUGAAGCUGGAGAUCUGGUCCAGCCCCUACCUCCAGCGUGUGGCCUGAACCCGUUUUGGUUGUACUGCUAUGUUGUGGCCCUGCCCAGGCCUCCAAGGACUGGCUGCUGUUAAGCUGUUUAAAAUCCCUGUAGGCCUCAGAUGGCAGCGACACCAGGGACUCGGCAUAGUCCCCAGCUCUGGCAGGAGUCACCACAGCCCUAGCCUUUAGUUCUCUACAGGCUGGAGUGUCGACAAACUCCACAGGACACAACUUUUUCAAACCAAAUUUACCCUCGCGGUCUGAAAUGACCAGUAGGCCCAGGAGAAUUUUACAUGUGAACAGAACCUAACCCACCCUGGCAAAUAUGAGACGUGUGGUCACUGCGGGAACCUGGCCAGCAGCAGACCAAAGCACAGCCAGCAGGGGAAGGCUGGGGCCCGCAAGAGUUGUGUUACAACAGGACACCCUUCAGUUCUCUUUCACUUCCUUAAAAUAGCAGCAGAGCGACUUUUGUAGACGCAGGCUGCCACAGUUCACACAAGGUCAUGGCUGUUUCCGAAUCCCACCCUUUAUUGCCCUAGCGGAGCCACUCCCCUUACCUCCGCCCCCAGAAACUGCUAGCCUGUUCUUAAAUUGAUACAGUUACCUUUUUAAAUGUUCUAAGUCACCGGCUCUGGAGCUUCUUUGCACUUUGGAACCAACUUGCGGGAAGGAACUUUAAAAAUACUGAUAUCUCGAUCCAUCCCCAGAGGUUCUGAUUUAAUGGUCUUGGGGAUAUGGCCACGGCAUGAGGACUGUUAAAACUCCGCAGGUGAUUCUUAUGUGCAACAAAGUUUAAGAACCACUGAUGUAGGCCAUGUCGAUGUCAGUCUUCACUUAAAUCCAACAAGACCCCAGAGCUAAAACGUUCACCUGAAAGAAACCCCAUUCCCAGGCCUGCAUACUGACCUGCGCUGGCUCACAAGAAGCAAAGUGGUCCCUUAACAGGGGCUUCCUGGAGAAAAUGUCUUGACCUAAAAGAGUGAUUCGAGCUGCAGGGAUUUAAGAGAGACAGGGCCUUGCUCUGUCACCCAGGCUGAAAUGCAGUGUUGCAAUCUUGGCUCGCUGUAGCCUCAAGCUCUUGGACUCAGGCGAUUCUCCUAUCUCAGCUUCCUAAGUAGCUGGGACUACAGGGCUCAGUGUGGUCAAAAGAAGACUAUAGAAUCAAGGAUGAAGAGAAGGAACACAGAAUAAAAGGACGUCUCAGCAGGAAGCUCUGUGACUACUAUGUCAAAUGAUGCCAUACAGUGAAGCACCUUGAAAGAUUGCUGGGAUAAGCUGACAGCAUGGCAGCCAAAAUAGUGACCCCAGGCUUGCAGGAAUUCUGUGCUUUCUGGAGGAAAUGGUCAUGGGUUUCCCAACCUGCCUUUUAAACUAAGGACCGAGCUGAAGAAGCCCCCGUCUUCCAGCGCAUGUUAUUCCCAUGACAGAUGCUAAAAGUUCAAGGGGAGAGCUACAAGAAGUGCGUUUUCCUGUGGCUACUUUCAUGUCUGGAUGCAAUGCCUAGACCUGCAUCCAUCUUGCGACCAACCUGAAGAUGAACAGAAAGGAAGGAAGGAUGGCCCAAUAGCCUGGGAAGAACUGGUGUUCCUGAUACCAUCAUUAACCACAGAAUCUACAAUCCCGGAACCCCCCAUCCUUAACCAUGGAAUCUACAAUCCUAUCUCUAGACCCUUUGUCCAGAUGCUACAGUUUCUUUGUUCAAUCUAGUUUGUGUCAGGAUUUCUGUUCAUUACAUCAAAAGUAUUCUAAUACUUGUAGCAAAGCAACUGGAGAAGUUUUCACUUUGUCUUUAACCAAAGAAGACUUCCAGGAAACAUCUCCUCAGUGGGUUUCUCCCUCACCACUGGAUUUUUAUCUCUGUACUAGUGCUUUGAUUUGUUUUAGGAGUCUCACCUCUCCACCUGUCAUAUUUCCCUGGCAGGCUCAUUUCUGCUAAUGCCCACAAUAUGUGUAUCAAUGAGCUUUCAACGUUAGGUACACAGCUCUUCAGGCAUGUAUAGCACAUUAAUCUGUCUGCUUCUAAGUGGUCUGUUGACAUGUUUGGGUGCCAGUUAUAUCUACAAGGCUGUGAUCAUUGUCCUGGGUUAUUCUGUUUGUUCUCUCUGCAGGAUGCAUUAGGACACCCAAGGCCAUGGCCAUCACUUACAUCUAGGAUUCAAUCUUAUCUCCUGUGAAUCACUGGAAACCUCCUGUCCUGGAACCCUUUUUUUCCACAUCCCACUGGAUGUCAUUCAUAGCAACUGGUCUUGUGGGUUGUCUAUUUUAUUGUGUUGUCUUACUCUUCCUCCUGGUAUCAGUUUUUAAAUCCUCUUGAUGAGAUCAGCUGAUCAGUCGCUAAGCAACAUAGUCCCCCAUGUCUUUGUAAGAUUCUCUGCACUCAUGGCUAGAAUGAUUUAUUCUGGUAUCUUAAGCUGUGUUUCAGAACCUCAUUCUAAAUAUCAACCUAUUCUUGUAAGUCCACUACUGAUCAUCUUUAGAUAUUCUUCAGUCUUCCAGAGUUCCAAAGGGCAGUAGGAAGAAGCAAUGAAAAUACCACCUGUAUUCUCACAUCUUUCAUUGUUCCACUCAAAAAAUACCACCAUGUUCACUUCUGGUGGAACGUUUAUGUCCAUGAGAAGCAGUGGCUUUGAAGAGUUUUGGCAGACUAUGGCGCCUUACUCAACAUUGGGAAGGGGGGUUCCAACUCUUUUAAGGUCUCAUCUUCAGCACUUCUAAACUGUGGGAAACUAUGUGAAAACAAAUGGAGUGGCCAAACACACCAUUCAUCACUGUGCUUCUGGACAGCUGCAAGUCCAUACGUGUUCUGAUGAAGUCUGGCUCUGUUGCCCAGGCUGGAGUGCAAUGGCACAGUCUCGGCUCACUGCAACCUCUGCCUCCUGGGUUCAUGCAAUUCUCCUGCCUCAGCUUCCCAAGUAGCUGGGAUUACAGACAUGCACCACCAUGCCCAGCUAAUUUUUGUAUUUUUAGUACAAACAGGGUUUCACUAUGUUAGUCGGGCUGAUCUUGAACUCCUGACCUCAAGUGAUCCACUCCCCGCAGCCUCCCAAAGUGCUGGGAUUACAGGCGUGAGCCACUGCGCCCGGCCUUUCAGCUGAUUUUCUAAUCAAGAAGUUAUAUCAGUCUUUGUCUGCAGUUGCUCAAAGACUCUCUUUUAAAGUGCAGAGACUAUCCACCUCAGCUAUAGCACAGGGCUCAGCACUGUAUUUCCAGUUAUGGAAUACAGUUAUUUCAUAUAUGUUAUAUUAUUCUUAAUUCUGUCCCUAGUUCCUGCUACUGAGGAAGUCCAUACUCAGCAGGACAGUCUCCUGGUCUGCCAUGAAUUCAAACACAAUCUGUAAAGACAGUGAAGGAAGCUACAUCUGUGCAUGGGGGCUUUAGAGAAUUAUUGGCUUGAAGCAAUAAGAGGAACAUCUGGGCUGAGUAGUCCUCGAAGACUCUCAUGUGAUUCAAAAGUCCUUUUCUUCCUUAUUAUUUCCUAUCUUGCUCUCAAGCAUCUCCUCUGGCAGCAGCAACUGGAACUAAAAGUGAUUUCUCUAUAACAGCGAGCAAGUUUCUCAUGGCCUUUGCUAUUAACUCUUUCAUGCCUGCUGACCUGCAAAAGAAUCAGGAGGGCUGGUGCUGGAGCAGAUGGCGCACUGUGAGUGAUGGUUUAGAUUCUGCCUGGACUCAAACCAUUUGGUUGAUGGCGGGAACCUUGAUUUUCCCCCUUCUUAUCCUGAGAGUGUAGGGUUUCUCUGAAUUAUUAUUUCUUUCUUUGCAAGGAUCCCUGGAUCCUCAUUCCUGAUAUAAGACUAGUUCUAGGUAAGUGCACAUUCAUGUGAUAUAUUGGUUCCAUACUAGGCAAUGGAAGUGCCACAUUAUCUGUAAGGAGCAGGAGAAGAGCCAUUAGCCCCAGUCCUGGGAACGAACUUUCUGUAACUUUAAGAAACAUAAAACUUUAAAUGCAACUGAAAGAUUAUAUUCUGUCACCUCCAACUACUCACCCAUAAAUACAAUAGGCACCACGGAGGCUAGGAUAAAGUGCAAAUUUAAGAUUAUAAGUGUGCUUAUAAUAAAUAUUGACAACAUCAUGCCUUCAAUGUUAUCAAUGUUGAUGUCACCCUGCAGGCCCAAGGUAGAGAGGUAGAACUGCUCCGCUGGCUGCCCUGCCAUACUUUGGGGUCAUGUGAUACGAUCUUCCAUAGCCACGGGGCCUUGGUUGUCAACUCAUUCCUGAACUUUGUGUGCCAAAGUGAGUCCAGCUUCCACACCCUUCACCUCCACCACCAGGCUGAUCCAGACUGCCAGGCUACGAUCCUCCAAGCAGGAUCCUACCUUGAUCUUAAAAACUUCCUAUGAAGAGCUCUACCAUCAUGUUUUCUAAAACCAGAAGCCCACCCUAAUCCCUGCCUGGCUUUUGGUUCCUUCAUUAGAGGCAAUCACUGCCAUAGAGAGCCCCACUCACUAUCCCUCCAUAGACGCCUUAGAACUAGGUUGGGAGCACGAGAUGCUCAGCCUUUAUAUUUUGUUAUCUUGAACCACAUGGGAGUCUUUGAGGACUACCCAGCCCAGACAUUUCUCUUAUUACUGCAAGCCGAUAAUUCUCUAAAGCACCUAAGCACAGACGUAGCUUCCUUCACUGUCUUUACAGAUUGUGUUUGAAUUCAUGGCACAGCAGAAGACUGUCCUGCUGUGUAUGGAGUUCCUCAGUAGCAGGAACUAGGGACAGAAUUGAGAAUAGCACUAACACCAGAAAUACAGUGCUGAGCCCUGUGCUGUAGCUGAGGUGGAUGGUCUCUGACUCUGUGGGCCUCUCUGCAGCCAGUCCAAUUCCUGUCUUUCUCUUGUGAAUAAAUGUUGCUGGCUCCAACUCAGCCUUAUUUUUUGAUGUGAUUCUGACUCCAGUCAUUAAGGGGGAUGUCUUAG
RNAcentral lists this long non-coding RNA (5421 nucleotides) under Homo sapiens (human). RNAcentral describes it as "non-protein coding lnc-CYB5R2-3:17". The record is from RNAcentral. Lineage: Eukaryota; Metazoa; Chordata; Mammalia; Primates; Hominidae.